Spinacia oleracea (spinach) is the source of this 2538-nucleotide long non-coding RNA. RefSeq lists it as uncharacterized. The transcript is spliced from 4 exons. NCBI's taxonomy places the organism in Eukaryota, Viridiplantae, Streptophyta, Magnoliopsida, Caryophyllales, Amaranthaceae. The record is from RefSeq and is a predicted model, not a curated record.
GUCGCUGCUCUCCUCUCGUCGUCAAUUCUUCUCUCCUCUCGCCACUGCUUGCCUCUCUCCGCCGCCAAUGUUCGCCUUUCGCCGCCGCCAGUCGCAACAAUUAAAUCGCCGAAUUCUAUCGCCGCCGGUCGUAGAUCUCCGAUCACCGCUCACAACUCGCCACUCGUCGCUUGCAACUCGCCGCGCCGCUCGCCGAUCGCAGCAAUCCGGCGACUUCACGGUUAUCUGGUGUGACUGGUUCAGGUUGCUGGCCUGGUCAGGUUGCUGAUGCAGUUUCUGGCCUGGUAGGUUCUGGCCAAUUUCAAGUUGUUGUUUGGAUAUUUCUUGUUUUACUUCCUUUUGGUAAUAAAACUUCUAUUUUACCAAAAAAAAAUUAAAAUCGAUUUUAAUCGAUUUCUCAUUUCAAAACUCGAAAAAAAUCGAACCAAAGUUUGAACGAAAUCGUCGGUGUUCUUCCUAUCAUUUCCAAUCCAGCAUCGGUGGCGGCAGCGACGGAGUUGGAAGCGAGGGAGGCAACAAAAUCGAACAAAAAAUCCGGCGAAAUCGAAUUGAUUGUGGUGGUGGUGGCUGAACUGGUAUGUGGUGGUGGUGGUGGCAUUCUCAAUUGAUUGUUCAAAAUGUACUCGGAUUUUGCAAAAUGCAAAAAUUAGAACAUACUAUAAUAAAUUUAGAACAUGCUUGAAUAUAUUUUAGAACAUGCUUGAAUAACAUUUGAACAUUGUUGAAUAAAGUUAGUACAUGCUUGAAUAAAUUUAGAACAUGUUUGAAUAAAGUUAACAUGCUUGAAUAAAUUUUGAAACACAGAUGAAUAAAGUUAGAACAUGCUUGGAUAAAUUUAGAAAAAUUGAAUAAAUAUAGAACAUGUUAGAAUAAAUUUAGAACAUGCUUGAACGGUUUUAGAACAUGUUUAAUAAUUUUAGAACAUGCUUGAGUUAAUUUUGAAACACGGUUGAAUAAAGUUAGAACAUACUGAAAGCUUGAAUAAAUUUAGAACAUGCUUGAAUUAUUUUUGAAACACGAUUGAAUGUUAUAACUUGCUGAAAGCUUGAAUAAAUUUAGAAAUGCUUGAAUAAAUUCAGAACAUGCUUGAAUGGAUUAAGAACAUGCUUGAAUAAAUUUAGAACAUGGUUGAAUAAAUUUAUAACAUGUUUAAUAAUUUUAGAACAUGCUUGAAUUAAUUUAGAACAUGAGCUUGAAAUUUUAGAACAUGUAUAUAUGUAUAUGUGUUGACUAGGUUCUCAUGUUCUAAAUUUAGAACAUUGUUGAAUAAAUUUAGAACAUUGUUGAAUAAAUUUAGAACAUGCUUGAAUAAAUUUAGAACAUGGUUGAAAAAAUUUAGAACAUCGUUGAAUAAAUUUAUAAAUGCUUAAAUAAAUUUAGAACAUGAGCUUGAAAAUUUAGAAAAUAGUUGAAUAAUUUUGCAACAUGCUUGAAUUAAUUUAGUACAUGAGCUUAAAAAUUUAGAACAUGGUUGAAUAAAAUUAAAACAUACUUGAAUAAAUUUAGAAUAUGCUUGAAAAAAUUUAGAACAUCGUUGAAUAAAUUUAGAACACGAGCUUGAAAAUUUAGAACAUGGUUGAAUAAAUUUAGAACAUGGUUGAACAAAUUUAGAAUAUGAUUGGACAAAUUUAGAACAUGGUUGAACAAAUUUAGAACAUGGUUGAACAAAUUUAGAACAUGAGCUUGAAAAUUUAGAACAUGGUUGGACAAAUUUUGAACAUGGUUGGACAAAUUUUGAACAUGGUUGAACAAAUUUUGAACAUGGUUGAAAUUUUUUUGAACAUGGUUGAACAAAUUUUGAACAUGGUUGAACAAAUAUAGAACAUGGAGAGUGUAAAAGUGUUUUUACCGUAAGAAGUGUUCUUACCUAAGGAGGUGUUCUUACCGGAUCCCUCUAUAGAGGAAGGCUCAUGUGAGAACACCCCCUUUAUGUGAGAACACAAUCUUAUGUGAGAAUAAAUUUGGGCCUUUGGAUAUUUUCUAAUCUAACAUCUCAAAAUCAAGGGUUUAGUAAUGGUAUUUUUGUAAAUUUAUUGAACAAUUACCCAGCCAUUUUCCUCCUUCUUCACGCUCACUGCUUCUCUAAAAUCUACAGACCUCUAUUUUUUCUCUCUUCAUUGUGCCGCCAUUAGAGGCUUAGAGCUUCAAUUAAGGUUUGAGUACACUUCACUUUUGGCCUAAUAGGCGCGAUUUCACCCCAGAUUCUCAAAUAUAUUCACCACAUUUCCAGAUUUCGUGAGUUUAUAGAUUCAGUUAUGCAAAGGACGCGAGGAUCUUGGCCGGUUACCAUGAUAUCCGAAAUUUUCCGGAAAAAGACUUCAUCGAAUCUGUUUCUUCAAACAAUACUCGAUUUCAAUAUUUGUUGUGCAACUAGAGUUGAUGAUUUUAUUUGUUACAUCUUUUUUUUUGUUUACUUUUGAAGAAUUAUGUAAUGAUGUACUCUUUGUUAUAUCAUUUUUUUAUAUCUUAUUUUUAGUGUUACAUCUUAGUUACUAUUCUGGAUUGACACAGUGUUAUGAUUCAAAUUGUUAUAUAAAU